Molecule: long non-coding RNA, 1311 nt
Filed under: Homo sapiens (human)
Lineage: Eukaryota; Metazoa; Chordata; Mammalia; Primates; Hominidae
Description: HSALNT0251441
Source: RNAcentral
UUUUUUGAUAUUUAGGAUAGACAGGGUCUCAAACUCCUGAGCUCAAGCAAUCCUUCUGCCUCAGCCUCCGAAAGUGCUGGGAUUAUGGGCAUGAGCUACUGCACCUGGCCUUGUUUUUAAAUAGAUAAUUAAGUAAAGAGUCAUUUAAGAAUGUUUUCCAAGUUCAAAGAGAACAAAACUGUGAUAACUGUAUAGCAUGAGAUAACUUCUUUAUGGGCAUUUAGAUUGUUUCCAUUUUGAAGAACAUUUAAAUGCAAGUCAUUGGAUGGGCAUAUGCAUAUGUUUUCAUUUAUCUUGGGUAGAUUUCAAAGAGUGGAAUUGCUGGAUCAUAUGGUAACAUGAACUGUUUAAGAAGCUGCCAACUUUUUUCCAAAGUUUGUGUAUUAAUUUACAUUUUCAUCAACAAUAUUUGAAGGUUCCAGUUUUUCAUAUUUUCGCCAAUAUUUGUAUUAUCAGUCUCUUUGAUUAUAGUUGUUCUAGCGGUAUAUAGUAGUGUGGUUUUUCUUUUAUGGAUAGUGUUUUUGGUGUUAUAUGUAAAAAUUCUUUGCCUAACUCAAAGGUCACAGAUAUUUUUUUCUGUUUUCUGUUAGAAGUUUUAUAGUUUUUAAGCUUUAUGUUUAGGUCCAUUUUGAGUUAAUUUUUUUAUGUGUGGUAUACGGUAAGGGUCUUCAUUCUUUGCUUUGCAUGUGGGUAUCCAGUUGUUCCUGCAUCAUUUGUUGAAGACUAUUCUCCACCCACUGAAUUACCAUGACAUCUUUGUCAAAAAUUAAUUGACCAUAAAUAUAAGAGUUUAUUUCCUGACUUUCUUGUUUCAUUGGUCUAUAUGUUUAUCCUUAACACUGAUUCCACCCUGUGGUGGUCUCUGCUGCUCUGUUUAUUUUUCUGUAGUCUUUUUUUUUUUCCGUUUUUUCUUACAAAGUGGAUAAUUUGUAUUGAGCUGCCUGUAAGUUCUCUGAUUCAUCUGUCAUCUCAUAACCGCUGUUGCCCCUGUAGUGAUUUGUUGGUUUUGGUUACUGUACUUUUUAACUCUAGAAUUUCUGUUUGUCUUUUGUUUAUAUGUUUGGUUUUGUUUCUUUAUCAAGAUUCUCCUUUUUUUGUAGUCAUUAUAUUUUACUUUAAUUCUUUAAACAUGGUUGUCUUUAAUUCUUUGGACAUAUCUAUAAUAAUGAAUUUGAAGUCUUUGCUAAGUUCACCUCAAAGUCAAUUUAUGUUAACUGCUUUUCCUCCCAAAUAUGUAUCACACUUUCCUGUUUCUUUGCAUGUUUUGAACUAUUUUAUUGAAAACUGAACCUCAUAGAUAAUGUAUUGUAG